Non-coding RNA from Phrynosoma platyrhinos (Desert horned lizard), 72 nucleotides. Lineage: Eukaryota; Metazoa; Chordata; Lepidosauria; Squamata; Phrynosomatidae. The record is from the annotation of a GenBank genome assembly.
GCCAGCAUGGCAUAGUGGUUUGAGCACUGGACUACAGCUCUGGAAGACCAGGGUUUAAAUCCCCAUUUGGCC